Molecule: ribosomal RNA, 1310 nt
Organism: Nitrincola sp. A-D6
Lineage: Bacteria; Pseudomonadati; Pseudomonadota; Gammaproteobacteria; Oceanospirillales; Oceanospirillaceae
Rfam family: Bacterial large subunit ribosomal RNA
Source: Rfam
GGUCAAGUGAAUAAGCGUGCACGGUGGAUGCUUGGCAGUCUCAGGCGAUGAAGGACGUUGUAGCCUGCGAAAAGGUACGGGGAGCUGGCAAACGAGCUUUGAUCCGUACAUGUCCGAAUGGGGAAACCCACCUAAUUUAUUAGGUAUCUCUUGUCUGAAUACAUAGGACUUGAGAGGCGAACCCGGGGAACUGAAACAUCUAAGUACCCGGAGGAAAAGAAAUCAACCGAGAUUCCCUAAGUAGCGGCGAGCGAACGGGGAGCAGCCCUUAAGCUGCGUUAUGGUUAAAAGAACGCUCUGGAAAGUGCGACCGUAGAGGGUGAAAGUCCCGUAUUUGAAAACCUAAACGUAGUGAAAACGAGUAAGGCGGGACACGUGAUAUCCUGUCUGAAGAUGGGGGGACCAUCCUCCAAGGCUAAAUACUCCUGACUGACCGAUAGUGAACCAGUACCGUGAGGGAAAGGCGAAAAGAACCCCUGUGAGGGGAGUGAAAUAGACCCUGAAACCGUGUACGUACAAGCAGUGGGAGCCGUUUUAAUACGGUGACUGCGUACCUUUUGUAUAAUGGGUCAGCGACUUACUUUCAGUGGCAAGCUUAACCGAAUAGGGGAGGCGUAGGGAAACCGAGUCUUAAUAGGGCGUUUAGUCGCUGGGAGUAGACCCGAAACCGGGCGAUCUAUCCAUGGGCAGGUUGAAGGUUGAGUAACAUCAACUGGAGGACCGAACCGACUACCGUUGAAAAGUUAGCGGAUGACCUGUGGAUCGGAGUGAAAGGCUAAUCAAGCCCGGAGAUAGCUGGUUCUCCUCGAAAGCUAUUUAGGUAGCGCCUCAUGUCUCACUCUGGGGGGUAGAGCACUGUUUCGGCUAGGGGGUCAUCCCGACUUACCAACCCGAUGCAAACUCCGAAUACCCAGAAGUGCAAUCAUGGGAGACACACGGCGGGUGCUAACGUCCGUCGUGAAAAGGGAAACAACCCAGACCGCCAGCUAAGGUCCCAAAAUCUAAGUUAAGUGGGAAACGAUGUGGGAAGGCUCAGACAGCUAGGAGGUUGGCUUAGAAGCAGCCACCCUUUAAAGAAAGCGUAAUAGCUCACUAGUCGAGUCGGCCUGCGCGGAAGAUUUAACGGGGCUCAAACUUAGUACCGAAGCUGCGGAUGCGUGCAUUUUCGAAUGUGCGCAUGGUAGAGGAGCGUUGUGUAAGCCGUUGAAGCGAAAGCCGGGAGGCAUCGUGGAGGUAUCACAAGUGCGAAUGCUGACAUAAGUAACGAUAAGACGAGUGAAAAACUCGUCCGCCGGAAGACCAAGGUUUCC